UUAGAUGCCGUUCAUGCUUGCAUGAUAAGGCAUAUGAACCGAAAAAGCGCCCAAACAUGAGGAAAAAGCGAUUUGCGAAGCAAAUCAGCGGAAUCCGAAUGUUUGUAGAAUUGCGAAAGCUGCAAAGCAGGGGAGCAAUUCGUGGGUA
RNAcentral lists this small RNA (148 nucleotides) under uncultured Acetatifactor sp. RNAcentral describes it as "Clostridiales-1 RNA". It matches the Rfam family "Clostridiales-1 RNA", at positions 21 to 166 of the family's 166-position model. The record is from RNAcentral. Lineage: Bacteria; Bacillati; Bacillota; Clostridia; Lachnospirales; Lachnospiraceae.